UCGGAUUGUAGUCUGCAACCCGACUACAUGAAGCCGGAAUCGCUAGUAAUCGCGGAUCAGAAUGCCGCGGUGAAUACGUUCCCGGGUCUUGUACACACCGCCCGUCACACCAUGGGAGUCGGAAAUGCCCGAAGUCAGUAGUCCAACCUCGUGAGGACGCUGCCGAAGGUAGGAUUGGCGACUGGGGUGAAGUCGUAACAAGGUAUC
This 207-nucleotide ribosomal RNA is filed under the name uncultured bacterium. Its description in RNAcentral is "partial 16S ribosomal RNA". It matches the Rfam family "Bacterial small subunit ribosomal RNA", at positions 1293 to 1500 of the family's 1533-position model. The record is from RNAcentral.